UCGUCGAUAGGGGAGGUAAAAAUUGAGGGUGGGGGAAAUUAAAAGGAGAAAAUGAGGGUUUUAGCAGAGAAGUCAAAAUUAAGGGUGGGAGAUGAAAAAUGAGUAUUAGCGACGGUGGAACUAUAUUCACCAUCGCUAAUAAGUUUAAUAAAUAAAAAUUUUAUUUUUUAUGAUGGCUCAUUCCAUCACUAAUUGUGCCGUUGCUAAUACUAUUUUUGCUAUUGCUAAUAAGUUUAAUAAAUAAAUUUUAUCUUGCAACGGCUUAUCUUUUGGUUGCGAUUGAUGGUCGGUAAAAACUAUUAUUAGUGAUGGCAAAAUUGCCAUCACUAAUAGCCAUCACUAAAAGUUAUUUUGCUUAUAGUAUGGCUAUAUUCAUUCAGAGAUGAAGCACCUUUGAGAGACUCCUACCUAUAUUCAUCUAGAGAUGAAGCAUCUUUUUCAUGGUUAUAUUCAUCCAAAGAUAAAAUGCCUUCAAGAAACUUCUGAAUAUAUUCAUCUGGAGAUAAAACAUCCUUCUCGUAGCUAUAUUCAUCUGAAAAUAAAGCACCUUUGAGAAACUCCUGAUUAUAUUUAUCCA
This 577-nucleotide long non-coding RNA is filed under the name Elaeis guineensis (African oil palm). RNAcentral describes it as "long non-coding RNA (EGUI_LNC004134)". Lineage: Eukaryota; Viridiplantae; Streptophyta; Magnoliopsida; Arecales; Arecaceae. The record is from RNAcentral.